UGGGGAAUAUUGCACAAUGGGCGAAAGCCUGAUGCAGCAACGCCGCGUGAGUGAUGAAGGCCUUCGGGUUGUAAAGCUCUGUCUUUUGGGACGAUAAUGACGGUACCAAAGGAGGAAGCCACGGCUAACUACGUGCCAGCAGCCGCGGUAAUACGUAGGUGGCAAGCGUUGUCCGGAUUUACUGGGCGUAAAGGAUGCGUAGGCGGAUUUUUAAGUGAGAUGUGAAAACCCUAAGCUUAACUUGGGGACUGCAUUUCAUACUGGAAAUCUAGAGUGCGGGAGAGGAGAAUGGAAUUCCUAGUGUAGCGGUGAAAUGCGUAGAGAUUAGGAAGAACACCAGUGGCGAAGGCGAUUCUCUGGACCGUAACUGACGCUGAGGCGUGAAAGCGUGGGUAGCAAACAGGAUUAGAUACCCUGGUAGUCCACGCCGUAAACGAUGAGUACUAGGUGUAGGAGGUAUCGACCCCUUCUGUGCCGCAGUUAACACAAUAAGUACUCCGCCUGGGAAGUACGAUCGCAAGAUUAAAACUCAAAUGAAUUGACGGGGUCAUAGCUGUUUCCU
This 562-nucleotide ribosomal RNA is filed under the name uncultured bacterium. RNAcentral's name for it is "partial 16S ribosomal RNA". It matches the Rfam family "Bacterial small subunit ribosomal RNA", at positions 355 to 1375 of the family's 1533-position model. The record is from RNAcentral.